UCCUUUUCGACUUCUUUUUCUUACCUGUCAGGAUGUACUUGUAGUCGUGGGGUCAUAAGGUCGGAGAGUCGCAGUCCCGAGGUACCGCAUUAGGACACUCAACGACAUCCCAGGUUGUUAGUCGAGAUAGUCGGUAGUACGUCAUAGGGUAAGCAAGACGAACUCCGACCAUUAACCGCCUGACCUAGGACCCGAACCGAACGCCCGUCGUUAGGUCGUAAACCGGAUGCCAG
Molecule: long non-coding RNA, 233 nt
Filed under: Elaeis guineensis (African oil palm)
Lineage: Eukaryota; Viridiplantae; Streptophyta; Magnoliopsida; Arecales; Arecaceae
Description: long non-coding RNA (EGUI_LNC005574)
Source: RNAcentral